This 253-nucleotide ribosomal RNA is filed under the name uncultured bacterium. Its description in RNAcentral is "partial 16S ribosomal RNA". It matches the Rfam family "Bacterial small subunit ribosomal RNA", at positions 524 to 776 of the family's 1533-position model. The record is from RNAcentral.
UACAGAGGGUGCGAGCGUUAAUCGGAAUUACUGGGCGUAAAGCGUGCGUAGACGGUUAUUUAAGUCGGGUGUGAAAGCCCCGGGCUCAACCUGGGAAUUGCAUUCGAGACUGAAUAGCUAGGGUACGGUAGAGGGAAGCGGAAUUUCCGGUGUAGCGGUGAAAUGCGUAGAUAUCGGAAGGAACGCCGGUGGCGAAAGCGGCCUGCUGGACCUCUUCUGACGUUGAUGCGCGAAAGCCAGGGGAGCAAACGGG